This 390-nucleotide ribosomal RNA is filed under the name uncultured bacterium. Its description in RNAcentral is "bacterial SSU rRNA". It matches the Rfam family "Bacterial small subunit ribosomal RNA", at positions 28 to 417 of the family's 1533-position model. The record is from RNAcentral.
GACGAACGCUGGCGGCGUGCUUAACACAUGCAAGUCGAGCGGUAAGGCCCUUUCGGGGGGUACACGAGCGGCGAACGGGUGAGUAACACGUGGGUGACCUGCCCUCAGCUCUGGGAUAAGCCUGGGAAACCGGGUCUAAUACUGGAUAUGACUCCAUGACGCAUGUUGUGGGGUGGAAAGCCUUGUGCGGCUGAGGAUGGGCCCGCGGCCUAUCAGCUUGUUGGUGGGGUGANGGCCUACCAAGGCGACGACGGGUAGCCGGCCUGAGAGGGCGACCGGCCACACUGGGACUGAGACACGGCCCAGACUCCUACGGGAGGCAGCAGUGGGGAAUCUUGCGCAAGUGGGCGAAAGCCUGACGCAGCGACGCCGCGUGAGGGAUGACGGCCU